This 236-nucleotide long non-coding RNA is filed under the name Cyanistes caeruleus (blue tit). Its description in RNAcentral is "lncRNA (ENSCCEG00000015942.1)". The record is from RNAcentral. Lineage: Eukaryota; Metazoa; Chordata; Aves; Passeriformes; Paridae.
ACCACGAAGAACAAAGAUCUGAAACUGUAAUAACUGAGGUGGCAUAAAACUGGGAUUCAGGAACUACUCUCAGACAGCUUAUUGGAGGACAUUUUUUCCCCCUACUGUUCCUUAGACAAUGCUCUACAGAAAUGGCUCAGGAGCAGAAAAGACAUGAAAGGAUUACCAAGUGGAGCUAUUUGAGGGAAACCUGGUUCGUUAUUUGGAGACAGGAAUAUAUUUUCAGCAUGGAGUAG